Molecule: ribosomal RNA, 497 nt
Filed under: uncultured bacterium
Lineage: Bacteria
Description: partial 16S ribosomal RNA
Rfam family: Bacterial small subunit ribosomal RNA
Source: RNAcentral
GAUGAACGCUGGCGGCGUGCCUAAUACAUGCAAGUCGAGCGAACAGACGAGGAGCUUGCUCCUCUGACGUUAGCGGCGGACGGGUGAGUCACACGUGGAUAACCUACCUAUAAGACUGGGAUAACUUCGGGAAACCGGAGCUAAUACCGGAUAAUAUAUUGAACCGCAUGGUUCAAUAGUGAAAGACGGUUUUGCUGUCACUUAUAGACGGCUCCGCGCCGCAUUAGUUAGUUGGGAAGGUAACGGCUUACCAAGGCAACGAUGCGUAGCCGACCUGAGAGGGUGAUCGGCCACACUGGAUCUGAGGAAGAGUCCAGACUCCGACGCGGAGACGCAGUAGGGAAUCUUCCGCGAUGCAGGAGAGCCUAACGGAGCAAAGCCGCGGGAAUGAUGAUGGACUUCUGAUCGUAAAACUCUGUUAUUAGGGGAGAACAAAUGUGUAAGUAACUAUGCACAUCUUGACAGUACCUGGUCAGAAAGCCACGGCUAACUACGUG